CAAUAGCGUAUAUUAAAGCUGUUGCGGUUAAAAAGCUCGUAGUUGGAUUUCUGUCGAGGACAACUGGUCCGCCCUCCGGGUGAGCACAUAGUUUGGUCUUGACAUCUUGCUGGAAGCUGUUGCUGCACUUGGCUGUGUGGCGCAGUGUUCAGCACUUUCACUUUGAGGAAAUUGGAGUGUUUCAAGCAGGCACAUGCCUUUGGACACAGUAGCAUGGAAUAAUUAGAUUGGGCUUUUGCUCCAAUUUGUCGGUUUCUGGAGCUGAGGUGAGUAUUAAUGGGGAUUGUUGGGGGCAUCCGAAUUUAGCCGUCAGAGGUGAAAUUCUUGGAUCUGCUAAAGACGGACAACUGCGAAAGCGUUUGCCCAGGAUGUUUUCAUUGA
RNAcentral lists this ribosomal RNA (381 nucleotides) under uncultured eukaryote. RNAcentral's name for it is "partial 18S ribosomal RNA". It matches the Rfam family "Eukaryotic small subunit ribosomal RNA", at positions 592 to 976 of the family's 1831-position model. The record is from RNAcentral.